Molecule: ribosomal RNA, 253 nt
Filed under: uncultured bacterium
Lineage: Bacteria
Description: partial 16S ribosomal RNA
Rfam family: Bacterial small subunit ribosomal RNA
Source: RNAcentral
UACGUAGGGGGCAAGCGUUGUCCGGAAUCAUUGGGCGUAAAGAGCGUGUAGGCGGUCUGGUAGGUCCGUUGUGAAAACUCGAGGCUCAACCUCGAGACGCCGAUGGAAACCAUCAGACUAGAGUCCGGAAGAGGAGAGUGGAAUUCCUGGUGUAGCGGUGAAAUGCGCAGAUAUCAGGAGGAACACCGGUGGCGAAGGCGGGUCUCUGGGCCGAUACUGACGCUGAGGAGCGAAAGCGUGGGGAGCAAACAGG